UCCGGUUGAUCCUGCCGGCGGUCACUGCUAUCGAGUUUCGACUAAGCCAUGCGAGUCACAGGCCGAAAGGUACUGGCGGACGGCUCAGUAACACGCGGAUAAUCUACCCUCAGGUGGGGUAUACCCUUGGGAAACUGAGGCUAAUCCCCCAUAGGUCCUGUAAACUGGAAUGUUUUAGGACUGAAAGUCACGGCGCCUGAGGAUGAGUCUGCGGCCUAUCAGGUAGUAGGUGGGGUAAAGGCCCACAUAGCCUAUGACGGGUACGGGCCCUGAGAGGGGUAGCCCGGAGAUGGGUUCUGAGACACGAACCCAGGCCCUACGGGGCGCAGCAGGCGCGAAACCUUCGCAAUGCGCGCAAGCGCGACGAGGGGAACUCGAGUGCUAUCAUCCUUUUGGGUGAUAGCUUUUCUCGAUCCUAAAAAGAUCGGGGAAUAAAAGCUGGGUAAGACGGGUGCCAGCCGCCGCGGUAAUACCCGCAGCUCAAGUGGUGGCCACUAUUAUUGAGCCUAAAGCGUCCGUAGCCGGUCUUGUAAAUCUCUGGGUAAAUCCCAUCGCUCAACGGUGGGAAGACUGGAGAGACUGCAAGACUAGGGAUCGGGUGAGGUAAGAGGUACUCCUGGGGUAGGGGUAAAAUCCUGUAAUCCUGGGGGGACGACCGGUGGCGAAGGCGUCUUACUAGAACGACUCCGACGGUGAGGGACGAAGGCUAGGGGAGCAAACCGGAUUAGAUACCCGGGUAGUCCUAGCUGUAAACGCUGCCCACUUGGUGUUGCCCUUUCGUAGGGAAGGGGCAGUGCCGGAGCGAAGGUGUUAAGUGGGCCGCUUGGGGAGUAUGGUCGCAAGGCUGAAACUUAAAGGAAUUGGCGGGAGAGCACCGCAACGGGAGGAGCGUGCGGUUUAAUUGGAUUCAACGCCGGG
Molecule: ribosomal RNA, 918 nt
Filed under: uncultured archaeon
Lineage: Archaea
Description: bacterial SSU rRNA
Rfam family: Archaeal small subunit ribosomal RNA
Source: RNAcentral